Homo sapiens (human) is the source of this 108-nucleotide small nuclear RNA. Lineage: Eukaryota; Metazoa; Chordata; Mammalia; Primates; Hominidae. The record is from Rfam.
ACUAACAUCGGAAUGUGUUAAUAUGCUAAAAAAUUGGAAAGAUACAGAGAAGAUUAGCAUGGCCACUGUGCAAGGAUGACACACAAAAAAUAAUUGAAAAAAAAAAGU